UAGGAUGAACGCUGGCGGCGUGCCUAAUACAUGCAAGUCGGUACGAGGGAAGUCCAGCUUGCUGGACGGAACGAGUGGCGAACGGGUGAGUAAUACGUAAGCAACCUGCCUGCAAGGACUGGGAUAACACCUGGAAACGGGCGCUAAUACCGGAUAGGUAACAAAGGGGCAUCCCUAUGUUAUUAAAGGUUAGAAACACAAGCAGAUGGGCUUACGGUGCAUUGGCUAGUUGGUGAGGUAACGGCCCACCAAGGCGAUGAUGCAUAGCCGGCCUGAGAGGGUGAACGGCCACAUUGGGACUGAGACACGGCCCAGACUCCUACGGGAGGCAGCAGUAGGGAAUUUUCGGCAAUGGACGAAAGUCUGACCGAGCAACGCCGCCGUGAGUGAAGAAGGUUUUCGGAUUGUAAAGCUCUGUUGUAAGGGAAGAACAGCACGGAAAGAAUCCGUGAAUGACGGUACCUUACCAGAAAGCCACGGCUAACUACGUGCCAGCAGCGGC
RNAcentral lists this ribosomal RNA (502 nucleotides) under uncultured bacterium. Its description in RNAcentral is "bacterial SSU rRNA". It matches the Rfam family "Bacterial small subunit ribosomal RNA", at positions 26 to 518 of the family's 1533-position model. The record is from RNAcentral.